This 368-nucleotide ribosomal RNA is filed under the name Staphylococcus aureus. Its description in RNAcentral is "partial 23S ribosomal RNA". It matches the Rfam family "Bacterial large subunit ribosomal RNA", at positions 271 to 637 of the family's 2925-position model. The record is from RNAcentral. Lineage: Bacteria; Bacillati; Bacillota; Bacilli; Caryophanales; Staphylococcaceae.
AAACCAACAAGCUUGCUUGUUGGGGUUGUAGGACACUCUAUACGGAGUUACAAAGGACGACAUUAGACGAAUCAUCUGGAAAGAUGAAUCAAAGAAGGUAAUAAUCCUGUAGUCGAAAAUGUUGUCUCUCUUGAGUGGAUCCUGAGUACGACGGAGCACGUGAAAUUCCGUUGGAAUCUGGGAGGACCAUCUCCUAAGGCUAAAUACUCUCUAGUGACCGAUAGUGAACCAGUACCGUGAGGGAAAGGUGAAAAGCACCCCGGAAGGGGAGUGAAAUAGAACCUGAAACCGUGUGCUUACAAGUAGUCAGAGCCCGUUAAUGGGUGAUGGCGUGCCUUUUGUAGAAUGAACCGGCGAUUACGAUUUGA